CAAGUAAACAUUACUUAGGCUUUUAAGAUACGGUUGGUUUAUGUUCUUAUACUUAAUCAUACACAUGACAUCUAGUCAUAUUUGACUCGUAGAAACUAACCAAGCUUCUUCUUGUUUAUCAAAGCUUUGAUGGUGUAGCUGUAGUUCGUAUGAAUCUUUGUCUUUGUAUCUUCUAACAAGGAUACAAUACUUACGCCUUUAAGAUCCAGUUGCGGUUC
This 218-nucleotide small RNA is filed under the name Arabidopsis thaliana (thale cress). RNAcentral describes it as "ATSL267430". The record is from RNAcentral. Lineage: Eukaryota; Viridiplantae; Streptophyta; Magnoliopsida; Brassicales; Brassicaceae.